UGACAGGGUCCUAAGGUGGAGGGUUGGGGAUAAGAAGACAAAGAAAAUAGGCAACUCGGGACAGAGGGUCCUGCUCAAACUGAUGAUAUUAGAAGCGGACCACCAUCUUGUAUACAGUUUUUAGGGGAGAAAUGGGAGGAAGUCAGCAGACAUCUACCAUGGUGGAACCAUCAGCAGGAAGCUAACCAGGUGAUGUUGCCCAAGGGGAGCAGGCCAUCAAGUGUGUCACAGACGGAGCACACAACAGCCUUAGACUGAGAAUCCAGCCUCACCAAGGGAAAAAGCCAAGUUCCCGGAAAGUAAAACUGUAACUCCUUGGGGCCCCAACCCCAAAAUGGGCCUUGUCAAGUUCGUCUCCCCCUUACUCCCAUUCCCCCCCCCCUCGCAAGGACAGAGCUGGCUUCCUUUUGUCUUCUCAUCAGAACCUCUGAGAAUGCCUUGGAUGGGCCUGGUCUCAACAGCUAAGAUUCCUGCUCGCUUGCUAGAAUACUUCCUCCUACAGUCUGGGUCUACAGUGAAGGGCUGCCUUGAGCCCCAGAAGAAACUUGGACUUUGGAUUUUAAAACAGUGUUGAGACUGAGAAAGACUGUCGGGACUUUUGAAAUCGGACUAAAUGCACUUUACAUUUUGAUAAGGCCAUGAGACCAUGGAGGUGAGGGAGCAGAAGGCAAUGAUGUGAAUGAGAUGUCUCCCAUAAUUCUACAUGCCUGUGUACUCUUCAUGAAAACAUGAAAACACACAGGGUUUUUGGUGUGUCUUCAUUUCUGAAAACUCUCAUGUCAUAGAAAACUUUUUCUGGGCUGGCAAGAUGGCUCAGCAG
Molecule: non-coding RNA, 820 nt
Organism: Peromyscus maniculatus bairdii (prairie deer mouse)
Lineage: Eukaryota; Metazoa; Chordata; Mammalia; Rodentia; Cricetidae
Source: RefSeq, a predicted model, not a curated record